CAUAUCACUAAGCGGAGAACAAGAAAAUAACAAUGAUUCCUAGAGUAACGGCGAGUGAAAUAGGAAAAGCCCAUAGCCGAAUUCUGUUGUUCAAAGUAGCAACUAGAAGUUGUGGCAUUGGAAACUGCCUGUUGUAACUGUUUGACAUGUCUACGCAACUCCUCUUGAUUGUGGUUUGUCCAUAGCAGGUGCUAGACCUGUUGCCGUUGACAUCAGUGUCAUCAGUGAAGGUAGUUUUUAGAGUCGGGAUGUUUGGGAUUGCAUCCCGAAGCAGGUGGUAAACUCCAUCUAAGGCUAAAUAUGAUCACGAGUCCGAUAGCAAACAAGUACCAUGAGGGACAGUUGAAAAGAACUUUGAAGAGAGAGUUCAAAGUACGUGAAACCGUUCAGAGGUAAACAGGUAGAGAGUCGAAUGGUGAUUUCGAUAAUCAGAUUGUUGAAAUUGUAUUAGGCAUGUACAGUACGUUAAAGGCUGCUUGUCUUUGUUUUCACUUUCAAUAAUCGUACUUGUCGAUUUCAAAUCGCUGCAAUCACUUUUGAUUGACCAGUAACGUGUAUCUCUUGAUAGCAUGAUGUCAUUUAUGGCAUUCAAGUUGUUAAAUGUACAUUGUUUAUCUGUGUUCAAAUCUUUGUGAUAUUUGAAAGUUCAUGCAAUCUGGCUUGAUCGAUCGAAUAGUCGGCAUAUCAGGUGGAUUCCAUGUGGAUCAACUACUUGCUAUUCUGUUCAUCGGUUUGAGUAUAUAAACAGAUUAAGAACUAGAGCGGCGUUCGAUUGCGAAUCAUCUACCUGACCCGUCUUGAAACACGGACCAAGGAGUCUAACUUGUGCGCAAGCCAUUGGUAUAACAAUUGAAAACCAUUGACGCAGUGAAAGCAUCAGGUGAGAUCUGGUGUUUAAUUUGUUAAAAAUUACGCCAGCGCAUCAUCGUCACGUCACACAUUGGCUACGGCUAUAGUGGCGCAGAUAGAGCGCACAGGUUGGGACCCGAAAGAUGGUGAACUAUGCGAGGCGAGGUCGAAGCCAGAGGAAACUCUGGUGGAGGACUGUAGCGGUUCUAACGUGCAAAUUGAUCGUCGCAGCUUCGUAUAGGGGCGAAAGACUAAUCGAACCAUCUAGUAGCUGGUUCCCUCCGAAGUUUCCCUCAGGAUAGCUGGCACUUUUUGACAGUUUUGUCCGGUAAAGCGAAUGACUAGAGGUCUUGGGGACAUAACGACCUCAACCUAUUCUCAAACUUUGAAUGGGCAAGAAGAAGGACUCGCUUAAUUUGGAGUCUCUUCAUUUUGUUGAAUGUUCGAGUGCCAAGUGGGCCAUUUUUGGUAAGCAGAACUGGCGCUGUGGGAUGAACCAAACGUUGAGCUAAGGCGCCAAAUGCUAACGCUCAUCCGAUCCCAUUAAAGGUGUUGGUUGAUAGAGACAGCAGGACGGUGGCCAUGGAAGUCGGAAUCCGCUAAGGAGUGUGUAACAACUCACCUGCCGAAUCAACCAGUCCUGAAAAUGGAUGGCGCUAAAGCGUUGAUAGCCUAUGCUUGACCGGUAUUGCACACAUUGUAAAUGCGAUGCCGAGUAGGAGGGUCGCUGUGGUAUGCAUUGAAGCUUUGAGCGUAAGCUCGAGUCGAGCUUCCACAGGCGCAGAUCUUGGUGGUAGUAGCAAAUAUUCAAAUGAGAACUUUGAAGGCCGAAGUGGAGAAGGGUUCCGUGUGAACAGUAUUUGAACACGGGUCAGUCGGUCCUAAGCGAUAGGCAAAUGCCGUUCAGAAUGCAGGUAUUAUUGAUUGAUUUUCUAAAUUGAUUGCCUGAUUUUGGUCGAAAGGGAAUCGGGUUAAUAUUCCCGAACCUGGACGCGGAGAUUGAGUUUCAACCUCGUGUUGAACUCUGUGCGGCAACGCAAACGCUCUCGGAUGUGUCAACGGUAGUCCUGGGAAGAGUUCUCUCUUCUUUGUAAGGGGCUGACUCCCUGGAAUCGGCUUAGCCGGAGAUAGGGAUAUUGCAGAUACCCGUAAAGCACCACACUUCUUGUGGUGUCCGGUGCACAAUCGUUGACUCUUGAAAAUCCGAGCUAGACUUGAAACAUUUUCGCGCCAGGCCGUACCCAUAUCCGCAGCAGGUCUCCAAGGUUAACAGCCUCUGGUGUUAGACUGAUGUAGUCAAGGGAAGUCGGCAAAUUGGAUCCGUAACCUUGGGAAAAGGAUUGGCUCUAUGGGUUGGGUCGUUACGGGCUGUGCUAGAAAGCGAUGCGUGCUAUCGAUGCUUUGGGUUUGAUUGGCAACGAUUGAGCCUAGUGUUGAUUGGCUGCUCGUGGCCUGGUACGGCUUCACCAGCUUCUUCUUGUAAGUUGUUGGCUACGUGCGACGCAAAGCAACCAACAUAGAACUGGUACGGAC
This 2382-nucleotide ribosomal RNA is filed under the name Aspidiophorus paramediterraneus. RNAcentral describes it as "eukaryotic LSU rRNA". It matches the Rfam family "Eukaryotic large subunit ribosomal RNA", at positions 39 to 2124 of the family's 3401-position model. The record is from RNAcentral. Lineage: Eukaryota; Metazoa; Gastrotricha; Chaetonotida; Chaetonotidae.